UAUACCCAUAGAGGUGUUGCAUGUUUGGCUACUACGUCACAUGUGCCAUUAGUAGGUGGUAGAGAAGAGAGAGGCUAUCUCUACACUGAGUGUUCUGACCGGGAACAUCUGAAUGAUUACUAGCCUAACACU
Small nucleolar RNA from Apodemus sylvaticus (European woodmouse), 132 nucleotides. RefSeq annotates it as small nucleolar RNA SNORA17. Lineage: Eukaryota; Metazoa; Chordata; Mammalia; Rodentia; Muridae. The transcript has a single exon. The record is from RefSeq and is a predicted model, not a curated record.